AUUGAACGCUGGCGGCAUGCCUUACACAUGCAAGUCGAACGGUAACAGGUCUUCGGAUGCUGACGAGUGGCGAACGGGUGAGUAAUACAUCGGAACGUGCCCAGACGUGGGGGAUAACGAGGCGAAAGCUUUGCUAAUACCGCAUACGAUCUAAGGAUGAAAGCAGGGGACCGCAAGGCCUUGCGCGUUUGGAGCGGCCGAUGGCAGAUUAGGUAGUUGGUGGGAUAAAGCUUACCAAGCCGACGAUCUGUAGCUGGUCUGAGAGGACGACCAGCCACACUGGGACUGAGACACGGCCCAGACUCCUACGGGAGGCAGCAGUGGGGAAUUUUGGACAAUGGGCGAAAGCCUGAUCCAGCAAUGCCGCGUGCAGGAUGAAGGCCUUCGGGUUGUAAACUGCUUUUGUACGGAACGAAAAGGCUCUGGCUAAUACCUGGGGCACAUGACGGUACCGUAAGAAUAAGCACCGGCUAACUACGUG
Molecule: ribosomal RNA, 481 nt
Filed under: uncultured bacterium
Lineage: Bacteria
Description: partial 16S ribosomal RNA
Rfam family: Bacterial small subunit ribosomal RNA
Source: RNAcentral